Long non-coding RNA from Dunckerocampus dactyliophorus (ringed pipefish), 1619 nucleotides. RefSeq lists it as uncharacterized. The record is from RefSeq and is a predicted model, not a curated record. Lineage: Eukaryota; Metazoa; Chordata; Actinopteri; Syngnathiformes; Syngnathidae. The transcript has 4 exons.
UGCCUCCAUCCCUCCCUCUCUCUCCCUCAGCCAUGGUGUGGUGGAGGGGUGGGGGGCGGGGGGGGAAACAAGGAGUGGUUGUGUGAUUCCCGCUUAGCGCGCGAGACAGAAAGAAACGGCACGAGGGUGGAGGAAGAGGAGGAGGAAGAGGAGGAAGAGGGGGAGGAGGGCGUUACCCCCACAGCACUUCAGCAUGGAUCCAAUGUGGAGGCAAACGGAGCAGCUUCUUCUACUGAGCGUUUGAAAGCGUAAAUGUGUUCCCUGGGGACCUUAGUGGCAGGCGGACAGAUGUUUGGAGGACAGGAAGCGACGUCGGCGGGUGCUGUCCUACCUCCUUAAGGGGAACAAAGAGGACAAGACCAUGGCCUCUUGGCUCCAUGCACUCUCGACCACGGGUAUUCUUGGGUUGAUAAUACAGAUGUGGAUGUUAUUGCUUGAGAAUACGCGUAGUCGAGUGGCGGCUUUGUCAUCUUCGCUGGACCUGAAACGGGCAUUGGUCACAAGGUGGGGAGGGGUGGUGCAGCUAAUAGAGGUGGCUUUUAAUGGGUUUAUCAAGCAUGCCCCUCUUAACACCUGUGGAGGAAAUGAGUUUGCAUGGAUCUCCUGCAAGAGGCGACCUCCUGCACUAAGAUCAGCCCAAACCCAACCCCCCCAGGCCCCCUCCCCCUCCAGGCUCCUUCAAGGCAUUAGUUCAGGGAGAUUAACACUGAAGUCACAUGUUAAUUACAAACCUACUCUUGUCGGUCAGCCGUGCCCCCAAGAGAGAGACUAUAAUCUUAUCACCGGUGAGAGGAUUUCAUGAGCCUUUUUUACCACCAUUUCGUAGGAUUUUGUACAAAAAGCAUUGCGUUGCAUUUAGUAGAAAAAUGAUUGAAAUCAUGGCAAUUUACAAAAUGCAUUCAAUUUUAUAUUUUGUUUAUCUAUGCAUUUUUAUAUAAUGUAAUAUGUUAAAUAUUUAAGUAAAUCAACAUUGUACUAUAUACACAAAUAAAUACAAAAUCAUUUACCUUCUUGGCAGAAUGUAAUGAUUUCAGUGCAUGUCGGCCAUCUUUGUAGAAACUGUUAAGUUUUGUACAUGCUGCAAAAUAGUCCCUUUCAAACGCAAUGCAGCGGAAUUUGAAAUUAAAGUCAGCAUAAGAAUAACUAAAUUAUUUCCUUUAGUAUAAAGCAUGAUAAUGACCAUAAAAAAGGAACUGAAGAAAGCAAUACAGUGCAAGAUGGCUAAUGUGACAAUCAUAAUAAAAGAAGAAAAAUUUACACUAUUUGUUUUUAGUUGUUUAUUUUGCUCUACUGUGCAGUUUAUUUUUAUACUUGCAUGGCAGUUUAUAAUGUUAAAUGUUAUAUAAAAUACUGCCUGCAUAGAACAGCUUGAACCUAGAAUGGAUUUUUUUUUUUUUUUUUUUUACCACAGAAGGGUACCAGGAAAAGUAUGAUGAUAACCAAACAGAAACUGGCACAUAUUGGGACAUAAGAAAGCAACACAGUACAACAUGGCUAAUGCAACAAUAAAAUCAUAAUAAAAGACAAAAAAUUAAGUACACACUGCGGUCAGCUUGAUUUUUUCUUUAUGUGACUCGCCUCACAAGCACUACCCUCUACGCCCUACUGUGCUUGUUUUU